GCACUUAAAUGGAGGAGCAGGCGCGCAAUUACCCAAUCCUGACUCAGGGAGGUAGUGACAAGAAAUAACAAUAAACCGGCUUAUGCCGGUUUAAUUGGAAUGAGUACAAUUUAAACAUCUUAACGAGGAACAAUUGGAGGGCAAGUCUGGUGCCAGCAGCCGCGGUAAUACCAGCUCCAAUAGCGUAUACUAAAGUUGUUGCAGUUAAAAAGCUCGUAGUUGGAUUUCUGUGGGGACGGAGCGGCCGGCCGCACAUCGCGGUUCGAGCUAGCGCUUUCCCUACAUCCUGCCGCGAACCGUGCUACCAUUAGUUUGGUGGCGCCGGGGAUCGGCUCGAUUACUUUGAGAAAAAUAGAGUGUUCAAAGCAGGCCACAUGCCUUGAAUAAGUUAGCAUGGAAUAAUAACUAAGGACUUCGGUUCUAUUUUGUUGGUGUUCGGGACUGAAGUAAUGAUUGAUAGGGACAGUUGGGGCGGUCUGUAUUCCAAAGCGAGAGGUGAAAUUCUUAGACCUUCGGAAGACAAACAGCUGCGAAAGCGUUCCGCAAGGAUGUUCCCUUUGAUCAAGAACGAAAGUUGGGGGAUCGAAGACGAUCAGAUACCGUCGUAGUCUCAACUAUAAACUAUACCAGCUAGGGAUCGGCCAACGUUAUUUUAUACCGACUUGGUCGGCACCUUAUGAGAAAUCAAAGCAUCUGGGUUCCGGGGGGAGUAUGGUCGCAAGGCUGAAACUUAAAGGAAUUGACGGAAGGGCACCACCAGCCGUGGAGCCUGUGGCUUAAUUUGACUCAACACGGGAAAACUUACCAGGUCCAGACAUAGUAAGGAUUGACAGAUUGAUAGCUCUUUCUUGAUUCUGUGGGUGGUGGUGCAUGGCCGUUCUUAGUUGGUGGAGUGAUUUGUCUGGUUAAUUCCGUUAACGAACGAGACCCCAGCCUGCUAAAUAGCGCGCGUGAGCUUUGCUCGCGGCGAGCUUCUUAGAGGGACUAUGAUGCGCGAUAGCACAUGGAAGUUUGGGGCAAUAACAGGUCUGUGAUGCCCUUAGAUGUUCUGGGCCGCACACGGGCUACACUGGCGCCUGCAACGAGCAUAUCAGCUGGUCCGAGAGGAUCUUGGCUAAUCUUUUGAACCGGCGCCGUGCUUGGGAUUGACCUUUGCAAUUGUUGGUCAUGCAACGAGGAAUGCCUUGUAAACGCGAGUCAUCAGCUCGCAUUGAAUACGUCCCUGCCCUUUGUACACACCGCCCGUCGCUCCUACCGAUGAAUGUUCCGAUGAAAUUUUCGGAGAGUGCCUGUGAACUUGGCUCUGCCUUGCGAACGGGAAGCUCAAAGUCACUUAAAUCUGAACAUGGAGG
RNAcentral lists this ribosomal RNA (1352 nucleotides) under uncultured marine eukaryote. RNAcentral's name for it is "SSU rRNA". It matches the Rfam family "Eukaryotic small subunit ribosomal RNA", at positions 410 to 1779 of the family's 1831-position model. The record is from RNAcentral.